This 497-nucleotide ribosomal RNA is filed under the name uncultured bacterium. RNAcentral describes it as "partial 16S ribosomal RNA". It matches the Rfam family "Bacterial small subunit ribosomal RNA", at positions 28 to 507 of the family's 1533-position model. The record is from RNAcentral.
GAUGAACGCUGGCGGCGUGCCUAAUACAUGCAAGUCGAGCGAACAGACGAGGAGCUUGCCCCUCUGACGUUAGCGGCGGACGGGUGAGUAGCACGUGCAUACCUUAUCUAUAAGACUGGGAUACGUUCGGGAAACCGAUGCUACUACCGGUAAUUAUUUUCAACCUCUGGUUUUAAUAACUAAGGUGGGUAUUGCUGUGCCUUCUCGAUAGAUCCGCGCCGCAUUAGUUACUUCGCAAGGUAACGGCUAACCAAGGCAACGAUGCGUAGCUGACCGGAGAGGGUGAUCGGACACACUGGAACUGAGACGCGGUCCAGACUCGUACGGGAGGCAGCAGUAGGGAAUCUUCCGCAAGGGGCGAAGUCUUGACGGAGCAACGCCGCGUGAGGGAUGAAGGUCUUCGGAUCGUAGAACUCUGUUAUUAGUGAAGAACAAAUGUGUAAGUAACGAGGCACGUCUUGACGGUACCUAAUCAGAAAGCCACGGCUAACUACGUG